Molecule: ribosomal RNA, 497 nt
Filed under: uncultured bacterium
Lineage: Bacteria
Description: partial 16S ribosomal RNA
Rfam family: Bacterial small subunit ribosomal RNA
Source: RNAcentral
GAUGAACGCUGGCGGCGUGCCUAAUACAUGCAAGUCGAGCGAACAGACGAGGAGCUUGCUCUUCUGACGUUAGCGGCGGACGGGUGAGUAACACGUGGAUAACCUACCUAUAAGACUGGGAUAACUUCGGGAAACCGGAGCUAAUACCGGAUAAUAUAUUGAACCGCAUGGUUCAAUAGUGAAAGACGGUUUUGCUGUCACUAAUAGAUGGAUCCGCGCCGCAUUAGCUAGUUGGUAAGGUAACGGCUUACCAAGGCAACGAUGCGUAGCCGACCUGAGAGGGUGAUCAGCCACACUGGAACUGAGACACGGUCCAGACUCCUACGGGAGGCAGCAGUAGGGAAUCUUCCGCAAUGGGCGAAAGCCUGACGCAGCAACGCCGCGUGAGUGAUGAAGGUCUUCGGAUCGUAAAACUCUGUUAUUAGGGAAGAACAAAUGUGUAAGUAACUAUGCACGUCUUGACGGUACCUAAUCAGAAAGCCACGGCUAACUACGUG